Molecule: long non-coding RNA, 1973 nt
Organism: Aquila chrysaetos chrysaetos
Lineage: Eukaryota; Metazoa; Chordata; Aves; Accipitriformes; Accipitridae
Exons: 2
Source: RefSeq, a predicted model, not a curated record
UGGCUCCCGGCCCGGCCGGGGCUGCUCCGAGCAGGGACAGGAGCCGACCCCGGCCGCCCCCCCCCCCCCCCCCCCCGCCCCGGGCUCCCCCCAUUGCGGCUUAUGGGGUUGGGGAUGCUGCGGCGGGGGGCGAAGCCCUGGGAGCUGGGGGGGGGGGAAGUUUGGGGGGGGGGGGGUGCAGCCGUAGCACUGGCCUGAGUCACGCUUGUGCAUGUCCCUUCUGGGGGCGACGUCCCCCCCCCCACCCCAGGGCAGGGAGGGGGGGAUCCCUCCCGGGUGUUUUUGGGGUGCAGAUCCCUCCGGUGGGAGCAUCCCCACGGCACGGUACAGCCUCGCUGCUGAGCAUCCCCGGGGGUGCUGCACCCUCCGCCGACCCCUGCACCUAACGCAGGAGAGGGGUGCCACCUUGCACCCCGACACCCCAAUCCCGGCGGGGCAGGCGGGGAGCCCCAGCCACCCCCAGUCACUCGCCCGCCCCGGCAGAGGCUGGUACAGUUCGUUACGUCCAGACCGGAAUGUACUUUGUGUUCGAAGUGGCCCCAGGCCAGGACGGCAAAGCCGGACUUUAUUUAUCCUCCCCGCUCCGGCCCCGCUGCAUCCUGCCCUCGCUUGUGCGGGGUUGGAUCUCCGGUGGGGCUGGGGGACCUCUGGACCCUGCCCCCCCCCCCCCCCCCCCAACUCAUCUCCAGUCAGGGGGUGCAGGGAUUUUCCCUCUUUUCCCCAGGGUGGAAAUAAUCUGGGAAAAUAUUUGUGUCCUUUCGACCGGUAAAAGCCGUCCCCGGUGUCUGGAGGGAGACGUGGACUUGGGGACCGAUCCAGCCCCGGCAAAGCCUCUGGCUGGAGGUACCCCCGCCUGCUUGCAUGAGGUUUUUUUGCAACGAGGGCCGGCGUUUCGGAUCGCAACCCGGAAAUUUAUGGAUUGGAAAUGCGGGGGGAAAGGGCCAGCCCUGGCCACGCUGGGCGACGGGACAGGAUCAGGCCUGCGAUGGAGCAGGGGCUGCUCCGGGGGUCCCCCCCGCGUGCCGGGGAUGCCUCAGCCCCUCUGCCGGUAAAAAUUUAUGGCGGGAGCCGUGAGUCCGAGCAAAGAGAGGGGGGUCGCAGCCGGAGGAGGGAUCACCCAGGGCUGGAUCCGGCCGCUUGCCACCGGCCGGGCUCCACGAUGACACCCAGUAUCCCACCCAUGGCCUCUCCGAACUGCCAUUCUCACAUCACAUAAGGUGCUCGGGGGCUGGCACGAGGAAGGACAUCGCCGGCAAAAGGGAGGUCUCUGGGAUUUGCUUCCCGGUUCCGGUGGGGGGCAAGGGUUUCCCCCAGACCCCUUGUCCUUUCGGGGCCGGGUGACGGUCGCGUGGCGGGCACAGGGCUGGGGCAGGACAUGUGCGGCCAGCUGGAUGGCGAGGGGGAACAAGCAGUGCCCCUGGCAGCCGCCCCGAAGCCGGCUGGGAUUAUUUAUGGAGCAGAUUUCCUCCAGGUUGUGUUACAGGGAUGGGGGGGACGGGGCAGAGCCCGGCACAGGGGAAAGGGGGUGUGUUUUGGGCAUCCCACCACCCAAGAAAGCAGAGCGAGCCAGGGGGUCCGGCACUGGUAUCGCGGUGGUUUGGAAGAUGUCUUUUAAAAAAAAACACUCUGGUGUUUUCUUCCCAUGUAUUUUGCCUUUUUUUUUUUUUUUUCCUAUGCAAACAAACUUAGCUUUAUUGUGGUGCAAGGACAAAGCAGGCUGGACCCCCCCUGCCGCCGCCGCCAUCAGUCCCAUGCUAUUUUUCAGGGCUUAGGUGUUAUCUAAGGGGCCUGCAUAAAAUUAAGCUGCGGGGUUUCCUGAUACUGGAAACCCACAAUACUUCUUUGGUAAAUGGAAAUUUAAAGCUCUUGGAGGCUGGGUGGGAAAUGUUUAAAACCAAAAUGCAAGAUUCACCUGGGUUAUUUUAGAGAGGGAAAAAUGAAACGUCAUGAAAAUAAAUCUUUUUUUUUCUAAA